Molecule: ribosomal RNA, 253 nt
Filed under: uncultured bacterium
Lineage: Bacteria
Description: partial 16S ribosomal RNA
Rfam family: Bacterial small subunit ribosomal RNA
Source: RNAcentral
UACGUAGGGUGCGAGCGUUGUCCGGAAUUACUGGGCGUAAAGAGCUCGUAGGUGGUUUGUCGCGUUGUUCGUGAAAACUCACAACUCAAUUGUGGGCGUGCGGGCGAUACGGGCAGACUGGAGUACUGCAGGGGAGACUGGAAUUCCUGGUGUAGCGGUGAAAUGCGCAGAUAUCAGGAGGAACACCAAUGGCGAAGGCAGCUCGCUGGAACGGUACUGACGCUGAGGCGCGAAAGCGUGGGGAGCGAACAGG